Molecule: ribosomal RNA, 484 nt
Filed under: uncultured bacterium
Lineage: Bacteria
Description: partial 16S ribosomal RNA
Rfam family: Bacterial small subunit ribosomal RNA
Source: RNAcentral
AUUGAACGCUGGCGGCAGGCCUAACACAUGCAAGUCGAGCGGAUGAAGGGAGCUUGCUCCUGGAUUCAGCGGCGGACGGGUGAGUAAUGCCUAGGAAUCUGACUGGUAGUGGGGGAUAACGUCCGGACACGGGCGCUAAUAUCGCAUACGUCCUGAGGGAGAAAGUGGGGGAUCUUCGGACCUCACGCGCUCAGAUGAGCCUAGGACGGAUUAGCUAGUUGGUGAGGUAACGGCCUACCAUGGCGACGUUCCGAAACUGGUCUGAGAGGAUGAUCAGCCACCCUGGAACUGAGACACGGUCCUGACUCCUACGGGAGGCAGCAGUGGGGAAUAUUGGACCAAGGGCGAAAGCCUGACCCAGCCAUGCCGCGUGUGUGAAGAAGGUCUUCGGAUCGUAAAGCACUUUUAGUUGGGAGGAAGAACUGUAUGUUAAUACCUUGCUGUUUUGACGUUACCAACAGAAUAAGCACCGGCUAACUUCGUG